GGGUGAAUAGGGCGAAACUGAAAUUUACAAAGUUAAUCACAACUACAAGCCGGGUUAGCGUUAGAAAUAUAAUCGAGUCGUGAGAGAGGGUGCAAAACAACUCGCAAGCAAAUAAAGAGUGUGACACGCGGAUUUGUUUUACCGAGGUUCAGUUCUCGCAAACCUACUCCCCGUUGAGGUGGUCACAAAGACCGGGUCUCUUUCAACCCUUUCCCUCUCUCAAACGGUCCCCCGGACCUAGUGAGCUUUCUCUUCUCAAAUCAACCGGGAACAAAACUUCCCCGCAAGGACCACCACACAAUUGGUGUCUGUCACACCCGGAUUUCGGGGCACCAAGACCUGAGCGCGAACAUAAUCACCAGGUGUGCUGGGACCAAGUCUCACACAUAUGAUGAAUCAUGGCACAGGAUCGAAUGUCACAUCUUUACUAUAUAACAGGAGUUCUAUACAAAAUAAAUAAUUACAUUAUAAGGAGACAACAGUCCAGCAACCCAAAGUUGACUGGGAGACGACGACCUAGACCUCUCACGGACUCGUCACAACAUCCUUCAUGCGCCUCAUCCUGUGGUACCUGUUCUUGACCUGUGGGGGUGUGAGACAGCAAGAGUGAGCUCACAUACGUUCAUCGCUCAACAAGUUGUGGGGAAUAAUAUGCAUGAACUCACCAAAGGUGGGAGCUCACGUGAAGUGUAAGGCUUACCAAAGAGGAUGGUUAGAGCUGAGCAUUGCUUUUAAAAUUGGUCAAAAUUUUAUUAGCAGUUACUAAGUAUAAGUAAAUACCAACCCAAUUAAGAAAAGUAAUAACAUCACCUGCGAUGCAAUGCGUAUGACAAAUUGAAUUUAGUUCCAUAAAUUAAUCAUGUGAGUGUCCGAGCUGCUCAUGACCGUGAGCACGGCUAGUAUACCAGUUUUACACUCUGCAGAGGUGUAACACCCCACUGAUCCCACACAAUGGAUGAUACCAAAAAAACCUUUCUACAAAACUUAUGCAACACAUAGAGAAAGAAAGUAUUGCAAAAUCCGGCAGCACCUCCCUUGAAAGUAGCAUAACAAGGGAAGCAUAUAGUUUAUACAGGAUAUAAAAGAAAGAUAAUUGACAUAGUAUAAUCAAAAUGCAGCGGUAGAAAUGAACAUUCAUGACCAGACAAAAGAUAGACAACUCAGCCCACCAAACUACACAGUUCAACUACCAUGAAAGAUUAGAAUGUAAUAAUUCCCUAGACUUGACCCUUCCUGUUUAACAUCAUUAUUAAUCAGUUAUUCCUUUAUUUAAAAGUGUGGUGGCCGUGCUGCUACAUCCCUUCUUUCCCAAAGCAAAAAUCAGGUGCCUGCAUCAGACAAUGCAAGAGUGAGAUGACACAUCUCAGCAAGUAAAAAAAAAAACAAACAACAGUUGGACAAUGCAAGCCAAUCGUGCAUAAGCAACCACAUGGUUCCCAACUUCUUUCUUAAAUAUUAAUUUGCAGCAAGUAAGAAAGUAACCAAUUACUCAAUGCCAAGAUGAAUUACAAAGUAAAGAUCCACCUUAUCCACAUCACCAAAAUAGGUUCCACACUUCACCCAUGAAUGCACAUGGCUACAGAUGCAAUAUGACUUCUGCCUUCAUACCUCUAAGGAUAUGAAGCUGCAUCAUACCCCUUCUCGGGAAACAUAUGAUGCUCAUUGUACCGAUACGAUCGGACCAUAAGAUCGCGACGAAACUUCAAUGCAAUGGAUGAUGAAUGCAUUAUGCAUGUCAACAACAUGAGUUCUUCCCAAAUAAAAUGUGCUAGACAUAUACUUCCACCCAUUUCACAUCAAUAACCACAUGGGUAACAUGAUCAAACCACACCCUCCACAUGUAUAAUCAAUAAAACAUGAAUAAUUUCAAACGAUGGUACCCAAUUAGGAAUAUGGAUACGAACACAAAUAGCACAAACAUAAUCAAGUAUAAGACUCUUCAAUCCAAAAGACGAAAUAACCAUCACUGUUUUACUUGCCUUUACCGAAGUUCGGGCAAAAUCCCUAAGAACGAUCCGGAAGUCCACCACCUGUUUUUGACACCCAACUUAGUGCACCAAAUUCUCAUAAAAAAACUCAAAGACAACACCGCACCUACGCGCAAUCUCAAACCCCGCCGUGGUAACAAUUCUCCCCUCACUAACCAAACUGCAGCGGCGCUGCUUAACAAUUCCAUAACUUAAAAUUUAGGACAGAAGUGAUGAUAAACAAAAACUUCAGAGACAACUACAUAAAAUUCCCCACAAGUUUUGUAUACAACUCAUGAUUGAAUUCUAACAUCUACUUACCUCUAAACGGCCCUCAAAAUAAACCCUGCAAUCUGUUUUUUUUCUGAUUUGAGCAGCGACAUACGCGGAUUCAAACAGCGAUAACUUUUAAAAUAUAAUUCCGAUUUGAGCGCAUAAGUACUUGUUGGAAAGAUAAGAAAAAGCCCUACAUGAUUCUCAUACUGAUUAACACUAAUUACUCCCGAAACAUCCCCAGAAACUGCUAACACUGCUGCUGUUCAUCACUCUGAAAAAUCUGUUUUCUGGACAGCCACAUACCCGGAUUCAAACGAUGAUAACUUUUAAUUUAUAACUCCAAAUUGGGCGCAUAAAUACUCGUUGGAAAGAUAAAACAAAGUUCUACAAGAUUCUCAUACUGAUUAACACUAAUUGCUCCCGAAAAAUCCCCAGAAACUGCUAACACUGCUGCUGUUCAUCACUCUGAAAAAUCUGUUUUCUGGACAGCCACAUACCCGGAUUCAAACGAUGAUAACUUUUAAUUUAUAACUCUAAAUUGAGCGCAUAAAUACUCGUUGGAAAGAUAAAACAAAGUUCUACAAUAUUCCCAAAUUGAUCCCCAUUAAAUCUUCACGAAAAAAACCUAAAAACUGCUGGAACUACCGCUGUUCAUCCACCACGCAAAAUUCUGGACAGCCCCCUCUAUCUAAUCGCAAACGCAACAUCUAAUCAAUUGAAUCGCAGCGCAAAUGAACAAGGGAUGAACACAAAAGAAAAAUCACCUUGGGUUCUCCCCUUUUCCUUCCUCCCUUCUUACCUCCACCAAAACGAUUGGAGAUUCGCACCAAGAGACGAUGAUCCGAGCGGCACGGAGUAGCACCUAGGGAGGAGGGGAUUGGGGGGGGGGGCUAGGGUUUUGGUGGCUGCAACAAUGGAGAGAGGAGGAGGUGGGCAGGGGGGGGGGGCGGCGGCCAAGGGGAAAGGAGGAGUGGGGGGGCUGCACAUGGGGGGGGGUAGUUAGGAGGGUGGCGGCUAGGGUUUGGGAGGGCUAAUGGGCCGAAACACCAAUUGCGGCCCAACUAUCCCACGCGACAGCUCCCGACCGCAACGCAAACGUCAAACCAAAUAAAUUCUACUGCCCUAGUUGCGAAUGUUGAACACAAAAUUCCAAAUCCCCAAAACAACAACUGGAUGAGGGAAAAAAACAAAAAGAACAACCCCCAACUUCUCUUCUUUGCAAACCGGGUAUCACAUUCUACCCCUCUUAAAAAGAAUUCGACCUCGAAUUCUGACGCUUCUAUCGGAAUGACACAAGAAAAGAUUAGCGAAUCAACAACACUUACCCACAACGAAAAGUUCCGGGUACUUCUGCCGCAUCAACUCCUCAAGUUCCCACGUAGCCUCGCGCUCUGACUGAUUAGACCAUAAGACCUUGACAUACUUAAUUGAUCUCUUCCUCAACACACGCUCCGAGAAUUCCAAUAUACGCACCGGACGGCACUCCAGAGUCAGAUCCUGCUGCACCGCAAUUGGUUCCAUCUCAAUCUGAUGGUCCGGAUCCCGCAAGAACUUCCUCAACAUAGAGACAUGAAAAACCGGGUGUACCCCUGCCAUGGAAUCCGGCAGCAGCAAGCGAUAAGCCAGGCUGCCCACUCGGGCCAAGAUAGUGAACGGUCCAAUGUAUCUUGGGCUGAGCUUCCCAGAGACACCGAACCGAACAACUCCCUUAGUGGGUGAUACCCUGAGAAGGACUUGGUCACCCACAGCAAAUUCCAGAUCCCGCCUCCUCACAUCAGCAUAACUCUUCUGACGACUCUGAGCUGCCAAAAUAUUCUGACGAAUUUCCCGAACCUUUUCAGAAGUUUGCUGAACCCAAUCAGGACCAACCAGGGAUCUCUCUCCCAAAGUCUCCCAGCACAGAGGAGAGAUACACCGCCUGCCAUACAAAGCCUCAAAUGGUGCCAUCUUGAUGCUAGCUUGGUAGCUGUUGUUAUACGCAAACUCUGCCAGAGCAAGAUGAUCCUCCCAGCUACCCUUCCAUGACAGAACACAAGCACGCAACAUAUCCUCCAAGGUUUGGAUUGUUCGCUCUGACUGACCAUCCGUCUGAGGGUGAAAAGCGACACUAAGCGAAAGCUUGGUGCCCAAUGCACUGUGGAGACUCUCCCAGAAUUUGGAUACAAAUUUGGAGUCUCGAUCAGAAACAAUAGACUUAGGUACCCCGUGAAGCCUGACUACUUCCUUCAUAUACAAGGGAACCAAAUCUGAAGCUGAAUUCGUGGUCUUCAUGGGAAUAAAAUGUGCAGACUUAGUCAAGCGAUCCACUACCACCCAAAUAGCAUCCCUGCCACGAGGGGAACGAGGUAGACCCACCACAAAAUCCAUGGUGAUAUGCUCCCAUUUCCACUCUGGAAUUUCCAAUGGCUUCAGCAAACCUGCAGGCCGCUUAUGUUCGGCCUUCACGCGCUGACAUACUUCACAGGCGGCCACAUACUUAGAAAUGUCAACCUUCAUCCGCUUCCACCAGAAGUGUUGCUUCAAAUCUCGGUACAUUUUGGUUUCGCCAGGAUGGACGGUGUAAGGCGUUUUAUGAGCUUCUCGCGGGAUAUCCAGCUUCACCUCUGAUUUCUGAGGCACACAAAGACGGCCCCUGAAACGAACCAAAUCAUUCUCAUCAAUGGUGAACUCCCGCGGUUUACCAUCACCAACCCUCCUUCGGGCUUCCUGCAAAAGACGAUCCUGCUGCUGAGCCGCACGCACUCUCUCCAUAAGAGAGGAUUGAAUAAGCAUCUGAGUCUCCUCGCUAGCGGUGCCGACAUAACACAAAGCGAUCCCCAAACGGUCCAGAUCAGUGAUCAACGGCAAGGCCACCUUUGGAACCCCAGACCUGCUAAGGGCAUCCACCACCACAUUAGCCUUCCCUAGGUGAUAAUGAAUGGACAAAUCAUAAUCUUUAAUCAAUUCUAGCCACCGACGCUGCCUCAAAUUCAGCUCCUUCUAAGUAAAAAUAUACUUGAGACUUUUGUGAUCAGUGAAAAUGUCACAAGCCUCGCCAUAAAGGUAAUGCCUCCACGACUUUAGAGCAAAAACCACCGCAGCCAAUUCCAGAUCAUGAGUUGGAUAAUUCCCCUCAUGCUUCCUCAACUGCCUUGAGCCAUAAGCAAUCACCCUGCCUUCCUGCAUCAGCACACAGCCAAGACCAAUACGCGAAGCAUCCGUAUAAACUGUGAAACGCUUACCGCUCUCAGGCAAAGCUAGGAUAGGGGCGUCCACCAACUUGCUCUUCAAUGACUGAUAACUGAUCUCACACUCGCCGGACCAGACGAAGGGAACACCCUUCCCCAAGAGCCUAGUCAAAGGCUUAGCAAUGCUGGAAAAAUUUGGUACGAAACGCCGAUAAUACCCAGCAAGCCCCAAGAAACUUCGGAUUUCAGAGACACUAGAAGGUCUCUUCCACUCCACUACAGCCGCAACAUUCUUGGGGUCAACCGCAAUACCCUGCUGAUUAAUAACGUGCCCCAGGAAAGCCACUUCAGAUAGCCAAAAGGCGCACUUCUUCAACUUGCCAUAGAAUUGAUUCUUCCUUAGGGCACCCAGAACGAGACGGAGAUGCUGAUCAUGCUCGGCCUCGGUCUUUGAAUAAAUCAAAAUAUCAUCCAGGAAUACGACCACAAAAUCGUCCAAGAAUUCAUGCAGCAUCCUAUUCAUUGCUUCCAUAAACGCAGCAGGGGCAUUAGUUAAGCCAAAGGACAUGACUAUGAACUCAUAAUGCCCAUACCUGGUGCAGAAGGCAGUCUUCUCAAUAUCCUCCUCACGAAUCCUCAAUUGAUGAUAACCAGAGUUCAAAUCAAUUUUGGAGAACACCUGGGCACCCCUCAACUGCUCAAAGAGGACCUCAAUUCGAGGAAGUGGAUAUUUAUUCUUGAUUGUCACUUGAUUCAAAGCGCGAUAAUCCACACACAGCCGCUUGCUUUUAUCCUUCUUCUCAACAAACAAUACUGGGGAAGCCCAUGGAGACCUGCUAGGCCUAAUGAAGCCCUUAGCCAGCAGAUCAUCCAAUUGCCGCUUUAAUUCAAUCUGCUCCUUUGGAGCCAUUCGAUACGGGGCCCUAUGAAUAGGCUGCGUACCCGGGAUCAGCUUAAUCUCAAAAGCUGCAUCGCGCUCCGGAGGAAUGCCUGGAAGCUCUGCUGGAAACACGUCAGCAAAGUCACACACCACCCGGAUGUCCUGCACCCGCAAGGCAGCCUCGCCCUCCACCACCAUAGAGAAAAAAAUCCCUGACUUCCUUGACCAGCGAUCAGGAAGCAAUUGCGCCAACAAGGAUAAUGUGAACUUCGGAGAACUUCCCAAGAAUACCACCUCCUUACCCGACGGCGCCUGCAAUAACACUGUCUUCCAGAAGCAGGAUAUAACCGCGCGAUACUGGGAUAACCAAUCCAUACCCAAGAUAACAUCGAAUGCCCCCCAAGGAAAUCACCACCAGAUUAGCCGAAAAAAACUCAUCAGCAAGAAUGACGGAACGCCCCUGACAAACUGAACAGCUACUAAUGGAGCCAUUAGCAGAACUGACCAAAAUUGGGUGACCCAACCUCUGCACCGAAAGACCAGCCCGCGACACAAAAUCCUCCGAAACAAACGAAUAGCUAGCGCCAGAGUCAAAAAGAGCAUGGGCUGCAAAUGAAUCAACUGAAAUCGUACCUGUCACCACGUCUCCUUGCUCCCUGCCAUCCGCAGCGGGUAGCACAUAAGCUCCAGAAAUACCCGCAGAAGAGGUAGCUCUCGGAGUGAAAUUAACAGAAGAACCCCACUGAGCCACCGGAGGAGGCUGGCGCGGAGCUCCAAACUGAGACAGCACAGGGGUAGACGACGCAGGAGUAGGCACAACCUGAUACUGCGGAAAACCUUGCAUCGGCACGAACUGAGAAGUCCCAGGCACAUAAAGCUGCUGUGGAGGAAGAGGAACUGAAAACUGCUGCUCAGCACUUGACAUCAUAUUGAUAGUGCCCUGAGAAGAGGAGGAAGCUAUCGGCUCCCAUCUGAGCUUCCCAUUGGGAUUCCUCCUACACACCACAUCCUUGUGGUCCUGACUGCAGAUAGAACACCUGCCACUCCACUGGCACUCUGCACGGCGAUGCGCAUCUCCACAGCGGAAACACACCAGCCCCAACCCGGGCUUAGGAACGGCCCGAAACCUCUGAGUACUUCCUCCUGAAGUACCUGAGUCAGAAGAUUUGCCACGGUAAGGAUGGUGGCGCUGAUGCUGAGACUUGCCCCUCUUGUGAGCUGGACCUCCAGUGCUGCCCCUCCUCGUGUCCUGGCUACGAGGUUGAUCAACACCCGAAGACUUCUGCGACUCCAUGGUGUACUGGUGUUGCAUCUCCACACCUAGCGCCUGCUCCACUGUGGUACGGAAGUCCACCAACGGAAAGGCCCCCAGAGCAUGCCUGAUAGAAGGCUUCAGACCCUGACGGAAUUGGCUCGCCUUCUCCAUCUCAUUAUAAGCCACAUGAGGGACAAAGCGGACCAUUUUGUUGAAGCCCACCUCAUACUCUGUGACAGACUUCUUCUCCUGCUUGUAGGACUGCAAGUCAAUCUUCAUUUUCUCCAGAAAGGUGACCGGGUAGAAUCUCCUUUCGAACUGCCUGAUGAAAACAUCCCAUGAUAGGACUCCUGGUGAGGAGGAGUGCGCUGCCUGCACGCCUCUCCACCAAAUCUGCGCCUCACCCUUCAGCAGCUGAGUGCCAAAGCGAACCCGAUCUCCAUAAGUAAUCUCGAAGACAUUCAUCUUAUCCUCCACAUAAGUCAGCCAAUCUGCCGCCUCGACCGGAGUACCACUGCCAUCAAAAGAAUCCAACUUCAUGCCCAUCCACUGCAUCAGAGAGAGACCACUGACUGGAAGAGGCACCUCGGCCCCACCACCAGGAACAGCACCCGCAGGGACAGCGCCCCCGGACACUUCUCCACCUCCAGCACCCUGAGCAGCAGCUGCAGGGGCGACAGGAAUGGCUUGCCUCAGAAGGGCCAACUCCUGCUGCAUGGCCUGCAUCGCGGCUAACAUUGCCGCCGGACUCAUCGAGUCCCCACUAGGAGCUUGCGGACUACCCCGAGCUCUACGAGGCGGCAUAGUUGUAGCCACAGGGAUGAGAAUAAUAAGUAUAUGAGAUAAGCAUAGCAUCUCUCUAGAUAAUGUCAAAACUAGCACAGAGAAUAACAUAAUCAUAUCAAUAGCAAGACCGAAAACCCAUCCUACAUGUGCAGUGUGUCAAUUUAUUACUACUCCACUUGCUAGGACCUACAGCCUAUACCUUUGAUACCAACUGUAACACCCCACUGAUCCCACACAAUGGAUGAUACCAAAAAAAACCUUUCUACAAAACUUAUGCAACACAUAGAGAAAGAAAGUAUUGCAAAAUCCGGCAACACCUCCCUUGAAAGUAGCAUAACAAGGGAAGCAUAUAGUUUAUACAGGAUAUAAAAGAAAGAUAAUUGACAUAGUAUAAUCAAAAUGCAGCGGUAGAAAUGAACAUUCAUGACCAGACAAAAGAUAGACAACUCAGCCCACCAAACUACACAGUUCAACUACCAUGAAAGAUUAGAAUGUAAUAAUUCCCUAGACUUGACCCUUCCUGUUUAACAUCAUUAUUAAUCAGUUAUUCCUUUAUUUAAAAGUGUGGUGGCAGUGCUGCUACAUCCCUUGUUUCUCAAAGCAAAGAUCAGGUGCCUGCAUCAGACAAUGCAAGAGUGAGAUGACACAUCUCAGCAAGUAAAAAAAAACAAACAACAGUUGGACAAUGCAAGCCAACCGUGCAUAAGCAACCACAUGGUUCCCAACUUCUUUCUUAAAUAUUAAUUUGCAGCAAGUAAGCAAGUAAUCAAUUACUCAAUGCCAAGAUGAAUUACAAAGUAAAGAUCCACCUUAUCCACAUCACCAAAAUAGGUUCCACACUUCACCCAUGAACGCACAUGGCUACAGAUGCAAUAUGACUUCUGCCUUCAUACCUCUAAGGAUAUGAAGCUGCAUCAUACCCCUUCUCGGGAAACAUAUGAUGCUCAUUGUACCGGUACGGUCGGACCAUAAGAUCGCGACGAAACUUCAAUGCAAUGGAUGAUGAAUGCAUUAUGCAUGUCAACAACAUGAGUUCUUCCCAAAUAAAAUGUGCUAGACAUAUACUUCCACCCAUUUCACAUCAAUAACCACAUGGGUAACAUGAUCAAACCACACCCUCCACAUGUAUAAUCAAUAAAACAUGAAUAAUUUCAAACGAUGGUACCCAAUUAGGAAUAUGGAUACGAACACAAAUAGCACAAACAUAAUCAAGUAUAAGACUCUUCAAUCCAAAAGACGAAAUAACCAUCACUGUUUUACUUGCCUUUACCGAAGUUCGGGCAAAAUUUCUAAGAACGAUCCGGAAGUCCACCACCUGUUUUUGACACCCAACUUAGUGCACCAAAUUCUCAUAAAAAAAACUCAAAGACAACACCGCACCUACGCGCAAUCUCAAACCCCGCCGUGGUAACAAUUCUCCCCUCACUAACCAAACUGCAGCGGCGCUGCUUAACAAUUCCAUAACUUAAAAUUUAGGACAGAAGUGAUGAUAAACAAAAACUUCAGAGACAACUACAUAAAAUUCCCCACAAGUUUUGUAUACAACUCAUGAUUGAAUUCUAACAUCUACUUACCUCUAAACGGCCCUCAAAAUAAACCCUGCAAUCUGUUUUUUUUUUCUGAUUUGAGCAGCGACAUACGCGGAUUCAAACAGCGAUAACUUUUAAAAUAUAAUUCCGAUUUGAGCGCAUAAGUACUUGUUGGAAAGAUAAGAAAAAGCCCUACAUGAUUCUCAUACUGAUUAACACUAAUUACUCCCGAAACAUCCCCAGAAACUGCUAACACUGCUGCUGUUCAUCACUCUGAAAAAUCUGUUUUCUGGACAGCCACAUACCCGGAUUCAAACGAUGAUAACUUUUAAUUUAUAACUCCAAAUUGGGCGCAUAAAUACUCGUUGGAAAGAUAAAACAAAGUUCUACAAGAUUCUCAUACUGAUUAACACUAAUUGCUCCCGAAAAAUCCCCAGAAACUGCUAACACUGCUGCUGUUCAUCACUCUGAAAAAUCUGUUUUCUGGACAGCCACAUACCCGGAUUCAAACGAUGAUAACUUUUAAUUUAUAACUCUAAAUUGAGCGCAUAAAUACUCGUUGGAAAGAUAAAACAAAGUUCUACAAGAUUCCCAAAUUGAUCCCCAUUAAAUCUUCACGAAAAAAACCUAAAAACUGCUGGAACUACCGCUGUUCAUCCACCACGUAAAAUUCUGGACAGCCCCCCUCUAUCUAAUCGCAAACGCAACAUCUAAUCAAUUGAAUCGCAGCGCAAAUGAACAAGGGAUGAACACAAAAGAAAAAUCACCUUGGGUUCUCCCCUUUUCCUUCCUCCCUUCUUCCCUCCACCAAAACGAUUGGAGAUUCGCACCAAGAGACGAUGAUCCGAGCGGCACGGAGUAGCACCUAGGGAGGAGGGGAUUGGGGGGGGGGGCUAGGGUUUUGGUGGCUGCAACAAUGGAGAGAGGAGGAGGUGGGCAGCGGGGGGCGGCGGCCAAGGGGAAAGGAGGAG
This 10831-nucleotide long non-coding RNA is filed under the name Zea mays. Its description in RNAcentral is "long non-coding RNA (ZMAY_LNC004348)". Lineage: Eukaryota; Viridiplantae; Streptophyta; Magnoliopsida; Poales; Poaceae. The record is from RNAcentral.